AAACCAACAGGGAUUGCCUCAGUAACGGCGAGUGAAGCGGCAAAAGCUCAAAUUUGAAAUCUGGCACCUUCGGUGUCCGAGUUGUAAUUUGAAGAAGGUAACUUUGGAGUUGGCUCUUGUCUAUGUUCCUUGGAACAGGACGUCACAGAGGGUGAGAAUCCCGUGCGAUGAGAUGUCCAAUUCUAUGUAAAGUGCUUUCGAAGAGUCGAGUUGUUUGGGAAUGCAGCUCUAAGUGGGUGGUAAAUUCCAUCUAAAGCUAAAUAUUGGCGAGAGACCGAUAGCGAACAAGUACAGUGAUGGAAAGAUGAAAAGAACUUUGAAAAGAGAGUGAAAAAGUACGUGAAAUUGUUGAAAGGGAAGGGCUUGAGAUCAGACUUGGUAUUUUGCAAGCCUUACCCUCGUGGUGGGGUCCCCUGCAGUUUACUGGGCCAGCAUCGGUUUGGAUGGUGGGAUAAUGACAUUGGAAUGUGGCUCUGCUUCGGUAGAGUGUUAUAGACUUUGUUGAUACCACCUGUCUAGACCGAGGACUGCGUCUUUGACUAGGAUGUUGGCAUAAUGAUCUUAAGUCGC
RNAcentral lists this ribosomal RNA (570 nucleotides) under Schwanniomyces yamadae. Its description in RNAcentral is "eukaryotic LSU rRNA". It matches the Rfam family "Eukaryotic large subunit ribosomal RNA", at positions 62 to 648 of the family's 3401-position model. Lineage: Eukaryota; Fungi; Ascomycota; Pichiomycetes; Serinales; Debaryomycetaceae. The record is from RNAcentral.